UACAGAGGUCUCGAGCGUUGUUCGGAUUCAUUGGGCGUAAAGGGUGCGUAGGUGGCGCGUUAAGUCAGGUGUGAAAUUUCGGAGCUUAACUCCGAAACUGCAUUUGAUACUGGCGUGCUUGAGGACUGGAGAGGAGACUGGAAUUCAUGGUGUAGCAGUGAAAUGCGUAGAGAUCAUGAGGAAGACCAGUGGCGAAGGCGGGUCUCUGGACAGUUCCUGACACUGAGGCACGAAGGCCAGGGGAGCAAACGGG
Molecule: ribosomal RNA, 253 nt
Filed under: uncultured bacterium
Lineage: Bacteria
Description: partial 16S ribosomal RNA
Rfam family: Bacterial small subunit ribosomal RNA
Source: RNAcentral